This 254-nucleotide ribosomal RNA is filed under the name uncultured bacterium. RNAcentral describes it as "partial 16S ribosomal RNA". It matches the Rfam family "Bacterial small subunit ribosomal RNA", at positions 524 to 776 of the family's 1533-position model. The record is from RNAcentral.
UACGUAGGGGGGCUAGCGUUGUCCGGAUUUAUUGGGCGUAAAGAGCGUGUAGGCGGCCAGGUAGGUCUGCUGUGAAAACUCGAGGCUCAACCUCGAGACGUCGGCGGAAACCAUCUGGCUAGAGUCCGGAAGAGGAGAGUGGAAUUCCUGGUGUAGCGGUGAAAUGCGCAGAUAUCAGGAAGAACACCCGUGGCGAAGGCGGCUCUCUGGGACGGUACUGACGCUGAGACGCGAAAGCCAGGGGAGCAAACGGG